UACGUAGGGCGCGAGCGUUGUCCGGAUUUAUUGGGCGUAAAGAGCUCGUAGGCGGCUUGUUGCGUCGACCGUGAAAACCCGGGGCUCAACUUCGGGCUUGCGGUCGAUACGGGCGGGCUAGAGUUCGGUAGGGGAGACUGGAAUUCCUGGUGUAGCGGUGAAAUGCGCAGAUAUCAGGAGGAACACCGGUGGCGAAGGCGGGUCUCUGGGCCGAUACUGACGCUGAGGAGCGAAAGCGUGGGGAGCGAACAGG
This 253-nucleotide ribosomal RNA is filed under the name uncultured bacterium. RNAcentral describes it as "partial 16S ribosomal RNA". It matches the Rfam family "Bacterial small subunit ribosomal RNA", at positions 524 to 776 of the family's 1533-position model. The record is from RNAcentral.